RNAcentral lists this ribosomal RNA (1432 nucleotides) under uncultured organism. RNAcentral describes it as "16S ribosomal RNA". It matches the Rfam family "Bacterial small subunit ribosomal RNA". The record is from RNAcentral.
CGGCGUGCUUAACACAUGCAAGUCGAACGGAAAGGCCCUGCUUUUGUGGGGCGCUCGAGUGGCGAACGGGUGAGUAACACGUGAGUAACCUGCCCUUGACUUUGGGAUAACUUCAGGAAACUGGGGCUAAUACCGGAUAGGAGCUCCUGCUGCAUGGUGGGGGUUGGAAAGUUUCGGCGGUUGGGGAUGGACUCGCGGCUUAUCAGCUUGUUGGUGGGGUAGUGGCUUACCAAGGCUUUGACGGGUAGCCGGCCUGAGAGGGUGACCGGCCACAUUGGGACUGAGAUACGGCCCAGACUCCUACGGGAGGCAGCAGUGGGGAAUAUUGCACAAUGGGCGGAAGCCUGAUGCAGCAACGCCGCGUGCGGGAUGACGGCCUUCGGGUUGUAAACCGCUUUCGCCUGUGACGAAGCGUGAGUGACGGUAAUGGGUAAAGAAGCACCGGCUAACUACGUGCCAGCAGCCGCGGUGAUACGUAGGGUGCGAGCGUUGUCCGGAUUUAUUGGGCGUAAAGGGCUCGUAGGUGGUUGAUCGCGUCGGAAGUGUAAUCUUGGGGCUUAACCCUGAGCGUGCUUUCGAUACGGGUUGACUUGAGGAAGGUAGGGGAGAAUGGAAUUCCUGGUGGAGCGGUGGAAUGCGCAGAUAUCAGGAGGAACACCAGUGGCGAAGGCGGUUCUCUGGGCCUUUCCUGACGCUGAGGAGCGAAAGCGUGGGGAGCGAACAGGCUUAGAUACCCUGGUAGUCCACGCUGUAAACGGUGGGUACUAGGUGUGGGGUCCAUUCCACGGGUUCCGUGCCGUAGCUAACGCUUUAAGUACCCCGCCUGGGGAGUACGGCCGCAAGGCUAAAACUCAAAGGAAUUGACGGGGCCCCGCACAAGCGGCGGAGCAUGCGGAUUAAUUCGAUGCAACGCGUAGAACCUUACCUGGGUUUGACAUGGAUCGGGAGUGCUCAGAGAUGGGUGUGCCUCUUUUGGGGUCGGUUCACAGGUGGUGCAUGGCUGUCGUCAGCUCGUGUCGUGAGAUGUUGGGUUAAGUCCCGCAACGAGCGCAACCCUUGUUCACUGUUGCCAGCACGUUAUGGUGGGGACUCAGUGGAGACCGCCGGGGUCAACUCGGAGGAAGGUGGGGAUGACGUCAAGUCAUCAUGCCCCUUAUGUCCAGGGCUUCACGCAUGCUACAAUGGCUGGUACAGAGAGUGGCGAGCCUGUGAGGGUGAGCGAAUCUCGGAAAGCCGGUCUCAGUUCGGAUUGGGGUCUGCAACUCGACCUCAUGAAGUCGGAGUCGCUAGUAAUCGCAGAUCAGCAACGCUGCGGUGAAUACGUUCCCGGGGCUUGUACACACCGCCCGUCAAGUCAUGAAAGUUGGUAACACCCGAAGCCGGUGGCCUAACCGUUGUGGGGGAGCCGUCGAAGGUGGGACUGGUGAUUAGG